UACGUAGGGUGCAAGCGUUGUCCGGAAUUAUUGGGCGUAAAGAGCUCGUAGGCGGCUUGUCGCGUCGACUGUGAAAUCCCGCGGCUCAACUGCGGGUCUGCAGUCGAUACGGGCAGGCUAGAGUUCGGUAGGGGAGACUGGAAUUCCUGGUGUAGCGGUGAAAUGCGCAGAUAUCAGGAGGAACACCGGUGGCGAAGGCGGGUCUCUGGGCCGAUACUGACGCUGAGGCGCGAAAGCCAGGGGAGCGAACGGG
RNAcentral lists this ribosomal RNA (253 nucleotides) under uncultured bacterium. RNAcentral's name for it is "partial 16S ribosomal RNA". It matches the Rfam family "Bacterial small subunit ribosomal RNA", at positions 524 to 776 of the family's 1533-position model. The record is from RNAcentral.